This 300-nucleotide signal recognition particle RNA is filed under the name Saimiri boliviensis boliviensis (Bolivian squirrel monkey). Its description in RNAcentral is "Metazoan signal recognition particle RNA (ENSSBOG00000000698.1)". It matches the Rfam family "Metazoan signal recognition particle RNA". Rfam says of the family: The signal recognition particle (SRP) is a universally conserved ribonucleoprotein. It is involved in the co-translational targeting of proteins to membranes. Lineage: Eukaryota; Metazoa; Chordata; Mammalia; Primates; Cebidae. The record is from RNAcentral.
GCUGGGCAUGGUGGCAUGUGCCUGUAGUCCCAGCUACUCAGGAGGCUGAGGUGGAAGGAUCGUUUGAGCCCUGGAGUUCUGGGCUGUAGUGCACUAUGCCAAUUGGGCGUCCGCACUAAGUUCGGCAUCAAUGUGGUGACUGCUCGGGAGCGAGGGACCACCAGAUUGCCUAAGGAGGGGUGAACCGGCCCAGGUUGGAAAUGGAGCAGUUCAAAACUCCUGUGCUGAUCACUAGUGGGAUUGUUCCUGUGAAUAGCCACGGCACUCCAGCCUGGGAAACACAGCAAGACCCCCAUCUCU